This is a non-coding RNA of Equus caballus (horse), 9240 nucleotides long. The record is from RefSeq and is a predicted model, not a curated record. Lineage: Eukaryota; Metazoa; Chordata; Mammalia; Perissodactyla; Equidae.
UUUUGUUUUUACAGACAUAUAUUUUCAGUUAUCUUGGAUAUACCUAGGAGUGAAAUUGCUGGGCCAUAGGGUGUGGUAAAAGGAAUAAUACCCCCAUGAAGUUGUCCAUAUCUUAAUUCUUUGAACCUGUGAAUAAGUUAUGUGUUGUGGCAAAGGGAAAUUAAGUUUGCAGAUGGAAUUAAGGUUGCUAACCAGCUGACUUUAAGAAAAGGAGAUUAUCCUGGAUUAAGGUGGUGGGCCCACUGUAAUUGCAGGAGUUCUCAAAAGUGAGAGAUGGAGGCAGCGUGAGCGUGUCUGAGGGAGAUUUGACUAUGGGCGAAUAGUCAAGGAGAUGCGGAGCUGCUGCAUUUGAAGUUGGAGGAGGGGAGCACAAGCCAAACAAUGUAGGCAGCCUCUAGAAACAGGAAAAGGCAAGGAAAUGGAUUCUUGCUUAGAGCCUCUGGAUGGAAUACAGCCCUGCCCACACCUUGAUUUUAGCCCAGGGAGACUGACAUCAGACUUUAACCUCCAGAACAGUAAGAUAAUAGAUGUGUGUUGUUUUAAGCCACUAAGUCUUAAGUGUUUUGGUCAACCUCUUGUUAACACCAACUAGUAAUGUCACUGGUGCAGCUGUGAUAUCAAAUGCUUAUGGCUAAUUGUUUUUUCCAAAUACCUUGUGGGUAGGGCUCUUAGCACAGAGCUAGCUUUGGUCAGGCCAAGCAAAGGCGAGCUCUGAGAACGGAACUAUUCAGCGAGCUUUCAGACAGUUGAACAGUGAUACUUCCCCAGGGAAGGGCUUUUGGGGCAGUCCAACCUGUUCUUCCCCGUCCAGUGUCUCGUAGGCUGCUGGUUGUCACAGCUGCUAUAGUUGCGAAGCUCUUGGCUUUCAAGAGCUGGGGAGAGGAUGAUCGUAUUAGGGCAAUUUAAAAUGCCAGAGGCUCUCUGUUCUUACUAGAUUCAGCCAUUUUUCUUGAAUAAACACUCCUUUGAUUGUCAAAAGCUCAUGUUCUGAAAGUGUAGAUUUUAGCGAUUUUUGCCAGCAUUCUCAUUGCUUUUUAGAGGAGGGAUUUUCAGAGGCCCUUCCCCUACCAUCUGGAAGUUGAGCCCAUCUUUUGCUGAAUUUCUACCCUGGAGAGCUGGCAGAUCAAGGCUGGGACUCAAGCCCAGCCCCUUCACGCUUAUAUUUUUCUCAAGGUGGAUCUGAGCAGCCUACCUCCGAGCUCUGUUUCCAGGAGUCCCACCCAGGUCUCAUUUACUGCUCUGGAUCUCAUUGUUGCCACGCUGCUUCCUUCCCCAGAGGCUACAGCAUAAAUGGCAUAGCUGCCUGCUGUAAAGCACCUUCCCUGGCCACAGCUGGGUCUCGCUGGUCUCUGAGGAUGAUGAAGCUUUGGGAGGGUGGGUGCAUUAGCUCUUUUGGAAGGAGUCCUUACAAAUCUCGUCUUGACACUGCCUUGGGGUCUAAGAUUUUCCAGGAAGCCUUUUUCUGCCAGCUCCCACGCUGUUCUGUUAAGCAGCCGUACCUGACCUAUGCUCUUCGAGCCAGAAAAACUGGCUCUAGUCCUGGAUUUGAUAUCCACUGUUUUUUUGAUGUUAGACACGUUAUCGCAUUUAUCAGAAACUAAUUAUCAAGUGGUGAUAAACUAACUACAUCACAAGACUCUUUGGGUAUUACAUACGAUAAUUUAUUGGAAAGUACCUUCUGUAGUCUCCAUCUUAUUUAACCAAACAGUUUUAGACUCUAGGAAUUGACACACGUCAAUAUUCAUUUUUCUAGAGCUAUUUUUCUUCAACUGUUGUUCUUGAGUUUUCUCUAAAGAUUAUUACCAGUUUUGUUAAAAAAGUAUUUUUGUGAUAAGGUUGAAGAUAAUUUUUCAAAAUUAAUCUCAGUCUGUUCUAGAUUAUUUGGAGGACUACUUUAUAACCGCACACCCCAAGCAAUUUUCUUCCUCAUCUGUGGGUGGUUUUUAUUGUAUCGUCAUCAACUAGUGUUACCUUUAUUGUGGGGGAAAAAAACGGAGUAGAACUUAAUAUGGAAAUGAUGUGUUUAUUUCAAAUAAGAAUUAAACGACACCACAACUCACAAUAAUAAGUUGAAUAGAGGCAAAUGUUAAAAGAAUUAAAUUAUUAAAUCACACCAAAAUGAUAAAGACAGAACACACACAUACACACACACACACACACACACACUUCGCCAAAGCAGCCAUCACUAUACUUGCUUUUAAUAGCACUUUUAGUUUCAGCAAAAUGAUAUCAACUGACAUGUGAAUCUGAUGUUGAUCAUUUGGAGUAUAAUGCUUUUAUAGUUUUGUUUGUGAUUAGCUUGUAAAUAUUUUUAGAUUUUAUACUAGUAUAAGAGCUGUAAGCAUAAGGUGAUUAUAUGUAUGCAUAUUUAAGUUAUAGCAUCAUGAAAUUAUCCAGCCAACACUAGGGGGUCCAUGGGAAAGUUUUUCUUGCAGAUGGAAUCUGUACAUUGCUCAAUUGCUCUGGCUUACGGAAACCAGGGAAAGCUCUCAGGGAGCCCUCAGAAAGAGUUUAUAGGCCAGCUGAAGGCAUCUCUUUAGGCCACAAUGAUAAAAUGAAGAGAUAAAGGAGACUUUCUCACCAUGAAGGAUAGAAAGCCUCACUUUACCAAAAGACUCAAACUUUGGGGGCAGAAACUAAUUAAAAAUAAGGAAGAGAAGGUGGUUGACUGGGAAAGAAAUAAGUAAAAUAAGAUAAUAUUUUGGGAGCCCACUUUCAGAAGUGUGGACCUGGGAGAAGGAAGGCCUAAUUUAAAAUUCUAUUUCUACCCCAUAUCACUCAAUAUAUCCCUUGGGCUGCAUAUGGGAUACUUAAUAUUCCUGAGCCUCAGUUUUUUCAAUUUUAAAUGCCUCUUUCACAAAUUUGUUAUGUAGGUUAAAUAAAAUUAUAAGAGUGAAAGUGCUUUGUGAACCACAAAGUCCUGUGUGUAUGCUAGGGAUGCUCCUGCAUUCAUUUUGUUAGAUGUUCAUAAAGGGUCCCUGGAAAUUUUUCUAAUUCUUUACAAUUGAAUAUCUCAGCAAGAAGAUAAAACACCCUACAAAGUUCCAGGUCUGUAAAAUAAGCAAUUCUUCUAUCUAAUCUAGACUGAGAGCAGAGCAAAUGCAGAGUUGACGUAUUCUACAAAACCUUAGGGAGAUGAGUUUAGGCCAGAUCUCUAACUGAUAGGGGAUUUUGAUUUUUUUCAAUAGGUUUUUUUUGUUGCUGUUAAUCAUAAAGUUCCUCUUAUAGAUUAAAAAAAAUCACAUUACUCAUAUUUGUGCACACACAUGUUCGUACACGCGUCCACCCACAGAAACAACCGGGUCCAUCCAUGUAUUCACAUUUCCGCAGAGAUCCAUGCAAUCCUGUGCUCACACGUGUACCGGCUACCUGCACACACAUGCUUGGCUUGCUCUUGAAUGCACUCAAUUCUCAUUGGCCAUAGUGAUCCAGAGUCUCUCCUGAGUCAGUUUCCAGCCUGCUUUACCAGUGAGAGGCAAAAAUGUCCUGAUUUCCCCGUCUCACAGCAUUUAUCUCAACCAGGGAUGCCCUAGCAUCCUAUUCUUUAGAUCAUCCUUAGAAAGCAUUUUGGAAGCCACAAAAGUAGGUUUCAAAGUCAGUCAUGUUUAGAUUUGAAUUAUGACCUUGGGCAAGUGACUUGCUCUUUCUGAGCCUCAGUUUCCUAGAUUGUAAAAUGGAGAUAGUGAAGACUCCUCAUAGGCAUGAGAGCAUUAAGUGUAGUGAUGUAUGAGUUUCCUCUAAGCCUUUUAGUUCUAUUUGAAAGCGAUGUUUUGGGAAUGGUACAUAUAUGUGGAUAGCAAGAGUCAUAGAAAUCUUAAAGUCAGGGAUAGAUCCUCACGGAGACCAGUGCAGGAAGAGUCCUCCUCCAAAAUGGCCCAGGACCCUCAGCCAGAGAAACUCAUGGAUCUUCUCAAUGCUCAUUGGCUCCCCUUCCUGAACAUCUUCUCAGUUCUCAUCUCUCUAGCAUGAAACUUCCUUUGCUUGCCCCAAUUUACUACUUUCUCCUGAUUUCCUAUGGCCUCACUGGACAUGGCUUUACCUAAAGUCAUCCUCUCAGCUUCUGACCCCAUUAUAAUGGCCACCAUCUCUGCGUGUUGCCAAAUUCAGCAUUUGUUACAGAGGAAUUUGUUGUCAAGACUCAUCUUUUUCACACUGGGUCAUAUGAAUUUACCUUUGAAGUCCCAAAAAUCUAGCUGAUAAAAAUCUAGCUCCAACAUUUAUUAACUCUGUGACCUUAAGAAAGUUGCUAAACUCUCAGAAUCUCAAUUUUCUCAUAGUCAUAUAGGGAUAAGUAUGGUUCUCACCCUCAUCGGAUUGUUGUGAGGAGUAAAUCAGAUGAUGUUUGGCAAGUGCUUAGUCUAGUACAUGGUAUAUAUUGAGCCAUAACGAAAUGCUAACUACUAUGAGUGUCAGUUCUGGCCAUAGACCAGAGUUCAACCUAAGAAUGGGUUGUCUUUUUGUUAAGUGCUCACCCUUGGCCCAUCAGGCACAGCCACUGGACAGCAGAGGCUAUGGGUUGUCCCCUUAGAUAACAGUGUCAGCAGGCCGAGCUUUCUGUAACUACAUCUACUCAAGAGAUUACGGGAUACGUUUUCCUUUAAUUCUACAUAAAGUUAAACGAUAAUGCAAUAAAAUCAAUAUAUGCAUGUAUGACUGUCAAAUAGUUUUGGAAAAAUCCAUUAAUAUUCAAAAACUAAAAACUUCUUUUUGCCUUGCAUAUUCACUGCCAACAGAAAAUAAAAGAGCCGUCUGAGAAAUACUAAGAAGAAGACAUUCACAGAGUGUUCUGGAUCUUUUAUCCAAACCUGGGGACUGAGUGGGAGAGAGUGGAGCUUCGUAGAGGUGAACACAUGGGCUUUGAAGAGCACGGAGGUCUUAUCUGGGACUGCUCUGAACCUGAGGGUUGCCAGUGCUGUGUAGUCAGCGGCAGGUGGAGGAACGCCUCCCUGAGCUGGGGUUUACAGUUUAACAAGUGGCCCAGAGCACUUGUGCUCAGCUCUUAAUGUGAACUUAUCAGACAAGUAUGCUUUUAUUCUUUGGAAAAGCAAAAAUGGAGAGAUACAGAAGCAAAAAGAGAAUAAUUUAACAACCAUCUGUGUACCUGCCAUUUGUAAUUAACAGAGGAGAAAGGUUGGGCUCAGGAAGCAAGAGUUACUUUCCCAGGAUCACACAGCAUGUACAUGGCUAAACGGGAAUUGAUAGCCCGCUCAUGUUCCUCCAGGACCAGGGCCUGUAAUCAGUAAGUUCUCUUAUGUCAGCAGGUAAGCAGUAUUUUUCAUUUUUAAAUCAAUGGUGUUUCUUAGCUGCAUAGCUACUGAUUUGGUCACAGAGUUGGAGAGGGCAUUGCAUUGUUUUCAGCAAUUAUUAACUUAGGAACUAUAACUUGAAAUGAGGCUUGUUCAGGUCAGAGACAUGAUUAGUAACAGAAUGCUAGCCCUUAUCUACCAGUGAUUGUGAAUCCUGCUUGGGUACAAGGUCCUCUGCUCUAUCGGGCCUUGAAGGGAAGAAUGCUUGGCUGUACGUGGCAAAGACUCUCACAUGGCAGGGGGAGGAAAGGUGACUUUUUGUCCUCUGGGAGAAAGCUUGUCUCAGCACAGCUGAGGCUGUUGGGUUCUUCAGAGGCCAUGGCCAUCAAGGGCAUAGCUCCUUCCAGUCAGCAGUCAGGUUUCUAGACAGCUAGAGCAUAGAGUCUGAUCAAAUCCAUCUCCCUCUUACUCCCUUCUGCCUGCUUGACCUUUCCCUCCUUGUGUUUUUUCCAUCUCUAUCUUCCAGGAUCACGUGAAGUUGCUAAAAUGGCUUCUACUGCACGUGGCACAAGCUGAGUCCUCCCCAGGGUCAAGCAGUCCCUCACUCAAGACAAGCUGUGCAAGCCCCUUACGUCCCCUUGGUGCUUUUUCAACAUAUCAGCUGCACAAGCUGAGUUCUGCCCCUGUCUGUAAUUCCCAAAAGAAUUAAAAAGAUAAAUCUCAGUGUUUCUCAGCCUCUGUUCUGAACUCUCCUGCAUGUCCCUGUCCUGCUACCUUUGCUCUGAUUAUCUCCUUGGUACACAUUUCUCCAUAGUCUCUUAAUGUCUGCUACUCAAAUUUUGCUCUUAGUUGUUACAUUUGCCUCUGUCUCCCUCUGUCCUGGCUUUGGCUUGCUGCUUCUGGAGAAGAUUUACUUGAAUAGAGGUACUGGCAACAUCCCCUCCAUUUGGCAAGCUCAGAGCUGACCCCUUUUAGGAUUUUGUUCUGGGAGGCAUCUCUCUCAUGCAUGUUUCCUAGGACGGUUCUAGAUAAUCUUUUCUUAGUGAUAAUAAGAGAGAAUUGUCACCGUGGAUAAAAACAGAACCUCCCUAACUCAAUUUAAUAUCAACAAGAAUUUAAGAAUACAGAAAUCAUUCAUAGAUCUGAACAAAUAGCAAAACAUAUAGCCAACAGGUUAUCUGGAUGGCAAAGAAUCUUCUAGAGUAACUCCUGACUUGCUCUAACCAAAAAUUCAUAUGGAUAUAGCAAAAUAAUUGAGGCAAAGGCAGGCUUAGUGACAACUAACAAAAUCUUUCUCACUGUACAACAAUUAUGCUUUUUAUUUUUCCCUCAAAAGACAGCGUUGUUUUUACAAAGGAUCCGUUCAGAGUUAUAUUUCAUUUGGCCGUCUUAAAGGUAAAAAUGGUUAUGGACAAAUAUGCAUAUUUUAUGACAAUUGUUUUUUCUCCAGAGAAAUGGCUCCUUUGAUGUCCAGGGAGAAUGGAGUUAAAUGUUGCUUUGAACUAGUUUCUUUGUUCUGCAGGCUAUUGUGCUAGUUAUACCGCACACAUGAAAUUCUGGAGGGAACAUAUCCUAAUGCAUAAGAGCCUGGGUGCUGGAAUUAGCUGCCUGGAUUUGAAUUCUGGUUUUGCAGUUUUCCAGCUGCAUGGCGUUUGCUAAGUUACUUCAGCAAUGUUAUCUUCAUCAUCACCCUUUGUCAAAUAAUAGGAACCACCUUGGAGGAUUUUGCGAGGAUACAACGCAAUUCUUCAGGUCGAGAGCUCAGAAUAAUAUUGCAAAACAGUCAGUACUCAAUCUCUUAUAGUCAUUUUUAGUUUGUAAGAAGCCUAACAACUUUUACGAGGUGUAAGGAAGACCACAGGCUCUGUAGUCACACAGUCUUCUGCCAUUACCUACGUGUGUGAUUUCUGUCGAGUCUCUUCUUGGAGUCUCAGUUGCUUCAUCUAUAAAACGGUGAUAAUUGUACAUAUUUCGCAAAGGCUCUUAAUUGAGAUAAUACAUGUGAAGCUUUAGGCACAAAAUAGAUGUGUAGUAAAUGUUAGUUCCUUUUCACUUUCCCCAUUACUGGAAAACCAGUAGAAUAAAUAGAAGAGGGAGGAAAUGGGGGCAUUAAUAAGGAAAUGGCUUUAUAGUAAGCUAUGCACAUGAUGGAUUAGUUAAGGAGUGGCUUGGAACCAACUUGCCAGGUAGGAGUUCCAACUUUGACCUUGGUCUUCCUUUCCUGCUGUACCUCUGGGUGUCUCUAUGCUGGGCACUCUCCUGGGAGUGAGAUGGGGAAUUACAACCAGUGAGUCUUUUUCCAUAACCUGCAGGACCCUCAGAAAUCUGCCUAAACAACCCCCAAGGAUUCGGUGCAAGGAGUAUCUCUGCAUGUGUGUCUGUUGUUUGUUUCUUUGUGUCUAUGUCCCCAUGAGAUGGUGCCCAGCAUUGAUGUUGCAAUCUCGGCCUCUGUAAUCAGACAGAUCUGGGUUGAAAUUUCCCCUGGAACACCUUGAUAUGUGUGACCUAGAGGAAGUUACUUAACUGCAACUGAAAAAUAGAGAUGAUAGUAGUAUCUUUCACACAGGGUUGAGAUGAGGAUUAAUUGAGGAGAAAGACCGAAAAUCAUAACGGUUGGCAUGCACAAGUGCUGGGUCAAAGAUGACUGCUCAGAUUACCACAGUCAUUAUUAAUCUCUCUAUAGAUGGGCAGACAGAUAUAGGUCUGCGGCUGUGGUGUACACGUGGUUGAGUGGGUGCCUACCUCCCUUUUUCUAAGAGAACAGGAAGAAGAUCUGCAGACCCUUCUCUCCAUAUCUCCUGUGAAGGCAUCGGAAAGCUCUUCCCACACUGAGAAAUUGCAUCUAUGGAUCUCCAUUUUCUUGUCUGCAGAAUAGAAUGAUAAGAUUUAUCUGUGAAACUUAUUCAUGGAUGAAUAUGACUGUGCCUUUGUAGAACGAAAGACAGUGACCAGCAUUCAUUUCAAGCAUUCAACAAAUAUGAACUAUGCUCCUACUGUAUGCCUGGCACUGUGUAGGCUCUGUGGGAUGACAGCAGAGAAGAGGUCCCCUGCUCUCUUGGAACUUGGAAUUGCUGGAAUGUAAUAAUGUGUCUAGAGAACAUGAAAAUUUUCCCUUCUUCUUUCAUCACUUUGUAUGGGAAUGCUUUAAAAUUUUUGGUAGCUUUGGCCUCUUAAUGUCUGUACUCUGCCCACAGGUGAAUUUCAAGCUCAGUGUGCCCUAGGCAAGUCAGUUAUUUUAAAAUCAGGCAGUUGACAGAGGUGGUUUCAAGCCUGAGGAAGUCCUGGGGUGGAAAGGAGCACAGGGAGCAUUACAAGGAGGGUUCUUUUGUGGGAACAUUUGGGGAGCUGCCAAGUUUCUAAUAAGAAAUGAAUUUGCCUUUAUUCAAAGAAGGAAAUGGUUCUUUCCCUCACAAAAGAGGAAGGAAAGGCUGUCCUUCUGGCUGUGGUUACCAGCACUGCCUUUCUGACUGGAGGGUCAUUAGGGUGAGGAACAAACGUGAAAAUGCAGGCCAAGCCUUUAAGAACCUCCUAGAUAAGUGAUCAUGAAAGGUAAAAAAGUGUAUGUUACUAGAAGGAAAGAACCAGAACACAAAAAAGGGCAUUGCAGCAUAGCAUUGCACAUGAAAUGUGCAGUAUGGGUCGGUAAGUUAAAGAGAAGGGCUGGACAAGUACUACUUAUACUUAAAUCCUGGAUAUGGCAGAGAUGGCUGGAGUUCCGCACCUCUCUCUGCCCCUCUGUAUUUCCCAGAGUUCCCUGCAGUUAGGUUGGGGCUCAUGUGACUGGGUUCUGGCCAAUGGGGUGUGGAUGGAAGUGACUAAUUUGAUUCCUUGAGCACCUCCUUAGGUGCCAGCUCUCAGUCUCAGCCUUGGGGACUCAGUAGGAAACACAACUAACAACUCAUGGUGCUUAUAUAUUCUGAGAUGGUGGGACAGACAGUGAACAUGAUGAAUAAGUAAAAUGUAUAGUAAACUAUAUGAAUAAGUAUAAUAUAUA